RNAcentral lists this ribosomal RNA (637 nucleotides) under Salmonella enterica subsp. enterica serovar Richmond. RNAcentral's name for it is "partial 23S ribosomal RNA". It matches the Rfam family "Bacterial large subunit ribosomal RNA", at positions 583 to 1221 of the family's 2925-position model. Lineage: Bacteria; Pseudomonadati; Pseudomonadota; Gammaproteobacteria; Enterobacterales; Enterobacteriaceae. The record is from RNAcentral.
CUUUUGGGUGUGACUGCGUACCUUUUGUAUAAUGGGUCAGCGACUUAUAUUCUGUAGCAAGGUUAACCGAAUAGGGGAGCCGGAGGGAAACCGAGUCUUAAUUGGGCGUUAAGUUGCAGGGUAUAGACCCGAAACCCGGUGAUCUAGCCAUGGGCAGGUUGAAGGUUGGGUAACACUAACUGGAGGACCGAACCGACUAAUGUUGAAAAAUUAGCGGAUGACCUGUGGCUGGGGGUGAAAGGCCAAUCAAACCGGGAGAUAGCUGGUUCUCCCCGAAAGCUAUUUAGGUAGCGCCUCGUGAACUCAUCUCCGGGGGUAGAGCACUGUUUCGGCUAGGGGGCCAUCCCGGCUUACCAACCCGAUGCAAACUGCGAAUACCGGAGAAUGUUAUCACGGGAGACACACGGCGGGUGCUAACGUCCGUCGUGAAGAGGGAAACAACCCAGACCGCCAGCUAAGGUCCCAAAGUCAUGGUUAAGUGGGAAACGAUGUGGGAAGGCCCAGACAGCCAGGAUGUUGGCUUAGAAGCAGCCAUCAUUUAAAGAAAGCGUAAUAGCUCACUGGUCGAGUCGGCCUGCGCGGAAGAUGUAACGGGGCUAAACCAUGCACCGAAGCUGCGGCAGCGACGUUUAUGCGU